AUUGAACGCUGGCGGCGGGCCUAACACAUGCAAGUCGAGCGGUAACACAGGGAGCUUGCUCCCGGGUGACGAGCGGCGGACGGGUGAGUAAUGUCUGGGAAACUGCCUGAUGGAGGGGGAUAACUACUGGAAACGGUAGCUAAUACCGCAUAACGUCGCAAGACCAAAGAGGGGGACCUUCGGGCCUCUUGCCAUCAGCUGUGCCCAGAUGGGAUAAGCUAGUAGGUGGGGUAACGGCUCACCUAGGCGACGAUCCCUAGCUGGUCUGAGGGGAUGACCAGCCACCCUGGAACUGAGAAACGGUCCAGACUCCUACGGGAGGCAGCAGAGGGGAAUAUUGCACAAUGGGCGCAAGCCUGAUGCAGCCAUGCCGCGUGUAUGAAGAAGGCCUUCGGGUUGUAAAGCACUUUCAGCGGGGAGGAAGGUGUUGAGGUUAAUAACCUCAGCAAUUGACGUUACCCGCAGAAGAAGCACCGGCUAACUCCGUGCCAGCCGCCGCGGUAA
This 504-nucleotide ribosomal RNA is filed under the name uncultured bacterium. Its description in RNAcentral is "partial 16S ribosomal RNA". It matches the Rfam family "Bacterial small subunit ribosomal RNA", at positions 29 to 523 of the family's 1533-position model. The record is from RNAcentral.